This 875-nucleotide ribosomal RNA is filed under the name uncultured archaeon. RNAcentral describes it as "bacterial SSU rRNA". It matches the Rfam family "Archaeal small subunit ribosomal RNA", at positions 7 to 887 of the family's 1478-position model. The record is from RNAcentral.
GUCGAUCCUGCCGGAGGUUACUGCUAUCGAGGUUCGACUAAGCCAUGCGAGUCGAAUGUAGCAAUACAUGGCGUACUGCUCAGUAACACGUGGACAACCUGCCCUUGAGACGGGGAUAAACCCGGGAAACUGGGUAUAAUACCCGAUAGUCCUCGACUGCUGGAAUGCAUCGAGAACUAAAGCUCCGGCGCCUAAGGAUGGGUCUGCGGCCUAUCAGGUAGUAGUGGGUGUAGUGUACCUACUAGCCUACGACGGGUACGGGUUGUGAGAGCAAGAGCCCGGAGAUGGAUUCUGAGACACGAAUCCAGGCCCUACGGGGUGCAGCAGGCGCGAAAACUUUACAAUGCUGGAAACAGCGAUAAGGGGACCUCGAGUGCCAGGUUACAAAUCUGGCUGUCGUGAUGCCUAAAAAGCAUUGCAUAGCAAGGGCCGGGCAAGACCGGUGCCAGCCGCCGCGGUAACACCGGCGGCUCGAGUGGUAACCGUUAUUAUUGGGUCUAAAGGGUCUGUAGCCGGCCGGAUAAGUCUCUUGGGAAAUCUGGCAGCUUAACUGUCAGGCUUUCAGGAGAUACUGUCUGGCUCGAGGCCGGGAGAGGUGAGAGGUACUUCAGGGGUAGGGGUGAAAUCUUGUAAUCCUUGAAGGACCACCAGUGGCGAAGGCGUCUCACCAGAACGGACCUGACGGCAAGGGACGAAAGCUAGGGGCACGAACCGGAUUAGAUACCCGGGUAGUCCUAGCCGUAAACGAUACUCGCUAGGUGUCGGCCACGGUGCGACCGUUGUCGGUGCCGUAGGGAAGCCGUGAAGCGAGCCACCUGGGAAGUACGGCCGCAAGGCUGAAACUUAAAGGAAUUGGCGGGGGAGCACCACAACGG